Molecule: ribosomal RNA, 448 nt
Filed under: uncultured bacterium
Lineage: Bacteria
Description: partial 16S ribosomal RNA
Rfam family: Bacterial small subunit ribosomal RNA
Source: RNAcentral
AACGAACGCUGGCGGCAUGCCUAACACAUGCAAGUCGAACGAGAUCUUCGGGUCUAGUGGCGCACGGGUGCGUAACGCGUGGGAAUCUGCCCUUUGGUUCGGAAUAACAGUUGGAAACGACUGCUAAUACCGGAUGAUGACGAAAGUCCAAAGAUUUAUCGCCAGAGGAUAAGCCCGCGUAGGAUUAGCUAGUUGGUGUGGUAAAGGCGCACCAAGGCGACGAUCCUUAGCUGGUCUGAGAGGAUGAUCAGCCACACUGGACUGAGACACGGCCCAGACUCCUACGGGAGGCAGCAGUGGGGAAUAUUGGACAAUGGGCGAAAGCCUGAUCCAGCAAUGCCGCGUGAGUGAUGAAGGCCUUAGGGUUGUAAAGCUCUUUUACCCGGGAUGAUAAUGACAGUACCGGGAGAAUAAGCUCCGGCUAACUCCGUGCCAGCAGCCGCGGUAA